Molecule: ribosomal RNA, 623 nt
Filed under: Streptococcus agalactiae
Lineage: Bacteria; Bacillati; Bacillota; Bacilli; Lactobacillales; Streptococcaceae
Description: bacterial SSU rRNA
Rfam family: Bacterial small subunit ribosomal RNA
Source: RNAcentral
UUAAUGAGAGUUUGAUCCUGGCUCAGGACGAACGCUGGCGGCGUGCCUAAUACAUGCAAGUAGAACGCUGAUGUUUGGUGUUUACACUAGACUGAUGAGUUGCGAACGGGUGAGUAACGCGUAGGUAACCUGCCUCAUAGCGGGGGAUAACUAUUGGAAACGAUAGCUAAUACCGCAUAAGAGUGAUUAACACAUGUUAGUUAUUUAAAAGGAGCAAUUGCUUCACUGUGAGAUGGACCUGCGUUGUAUUAGCUAGUUGGUGAGGUAAAGGCUCACCAAGGCGACGAUACAUAGCCGACCUGAGAGGGUGAUCGGCCACACUGGGACUGAGACACGGCCCAGACUCCUACGGGAGGCAGCAGUAGGGAAUCUUCGGCAAUGGACGGAAGUCUGACCGAGCAACGCCGCGUGAGUGAAGAAGGUUUUCGGAUCGUAAAGCUCUGUUGUUAGAGAAGAACGUUGGUAGGAGUGGAAAAUCUACCAAGUGACGGUAACUAACCAGAAAGGGACGGCUAACUACGUGCCAGCAGCCGCGGUAAUACGUAGGUCCCGAGCGUUGUCCGGAUUUAUUGGGCGUAAAGCGAGCGCAGGCGGUUCUUUAAGUCUGAAGUUAAAGGCAGUGG